This is a long non-coding RNA of Helicoverpa armigera (cotton bollworm), 270 nucleotides long. RefSeq lists it as uncharacterized. The record is from RefSeq and is a predicted model, not a curated record. Lineage: Eukaryota; Metazoa; Arthropoda; Insecta; Lepidoptera; Noctuidae. The transcript has 3 exons.
CGCUGUUGCGCUGCGCAAACUCGCCGGAGCUCGAAAAAUAUAGCGCAACCUGCGCAACGAACUCGUUUUGAUACUAGAUAAUGAAAGCAUAUUUAAUUCAGAUUAUCAGACUCAAUCGGAUACCAGUACAAAUAAUAUGGAAAAUGAAGAUACAAUACAUGGAAGACGAAUUAUAGAUUUUAGUUUUUUUAUAAAUCAAUUACUUAUACCUAAUUGAUAAACGUGGUGAAAAGUUUGGUUGUCGAUUAAAUAAUUUAAAAAUUGUAAACG